RNAcentral lists this ribosomal RNA (892 nucleotides) under Rhytidhysteron sichuanense. RNAcentral's name for it is "Rhytidhysteron sp. XX-2020b partial large subunit ribosomal RNA". It matches the Rfam family "Eukaryotic large subunit ribosomal RNA", at positions 42 to 953 of the family's 3401-position model. Lineage: Eukaryota; Fungi; Ascomycota; Dothideomycetes; Hysteriales; Hysteriaceae. The record is from RNAcentral.
UACAAUAAGCGGAGGAAAAGAAACCAACAGGGAUUGCCUCAGUAACGGCGAGUGAAGCGGCAACAGCUCAAAUUUGAAAUCUGGCCUCCUUGGGGGUCCGAGUUGUAAUUUGUAGAGGAUGCUUCGGCGUGGGCCCCGGUCUAAGUUCCUUGGAACAGGACGUCACAGAGGGUGAGAAUCCCGUACGUGGCCGUGGGUGCUCGCCAUGUGAAGCUCCUUCGACGAGUCGAGUUGUUUGGGAAUGCAGCUCUAAAUGGGAGGUAUAUUUCUUCUAAAGCUAAAUAUUGGCCAGAGACCGAUAGCGCACAAGUAGAGUGAUCGAAAGAUGAAAAGCACUUUGGAAAGAGAGUCAAAAAGUACGUGAAAUUGUUGAAAGGGAAGCGCUUGCAACCAGACCUGUCUGCAGUUGCUCAUCCGGGCUUCUGCCCGGUGCACUCUUCUGCAGUCAGGCCAGCAUCAGUUCUGGCGGUCGGAUAAAGGCGGUGGGAAUGUGGCUCCUCUCGGGGAGUGUUAUAGCCCAUCGUGCAAUGCGGCCAGCUGGGACUGAGGUCCGCGCUUCGGCUAGGAUGCUGGCGUAAUGGUUGUAAGCGGCCCGUCUUGAAACACGGACCAAGGAGUCUAACAUCUGUGCGAGUGUUUGGGUGUCAAGCCCAGGCGCGUAAUGAAAGUGAACGGAGGCGGGAACCUUCGGGUGCACCGUCGACCGAUCCUGAUGUCUUCGGAUGGAUUUGAGUAAGAGCAUAGCUGUUGGGACCCGAAAGAUGGUGAACUAUGCCUGAAUAGGGUGAAGCCAGAGGAAACUCUGGUGGAGGCUCGCAGCGGUUCUGACGUGCAAAUCGAUCGUCAAAUUUGGGCAUAGGGGCGAAAGACUAAUCGAACUAUCUAGUAGCUG